This 29-nucleotide small RNA is filed under the name Bombyx mori (domestic silkworm). Its description in RNAcentral is "ovarian small RNA-5816". Lineage: Eukaryota; Metazoa; Arthropoda; Insecta; Lepidoptera; Bombycidae. The record is from RNAcentral.
UAAUAUUGACAAGUAGCGGUCAGUGCUGC